GAGACGGGGUUUUGCCAUGUUGCCCAGGCCAGUCUCCAACUCCUGAGCUUGAGCAACCCACCCGCCUCGGCUUCCCAAAGUGCUGGGACCGCAGGCGUGAACCAGCGCAGCCGGCUGGAAAACUGGAACUCUCAUCGGUUGAGAGUGGCAGCUCUGGAGCUCGGACUCCCCCACCUCCCCAGGAUUUGUCAUUGCUGCUGUUUGUCGUGGUUAUCUGUCAGAAAUGAGCCGGGCGUGGUGGCGCCUAUAGUCAGCUACUCGGGAGGCUGAGGCAGGAGAAUCACUUGAACUCGGGAGGCUGAGGCACGAGAAUCGCUUGAACUGGGAGGCUGAGGCACGAGAAUCGCUUGAACUGGGAUGCAGAGGCUGCAGUGAGCCAUGUUGGUGCUGGUGCACUCCAGCCUGAGCAAGACCUUGUCUCAGAAAAAAAAAAAGUUCACAAAGCCCACUGUUCUUACUAAGAUUCAGCUGUUUUUCUUGAAUAAAUGCUCCCCGUGCUACUGU
RNAcentral lists this long non-coding RNA (504 nucleotides) under Homo sapiens (human). RNAcentral's name for it is "HSALNT0145529". Lineage: Eukaryota; Metazoa; Chordata; Mammalia; Primates; Hominidae. The record is from RNAcentral.